AGCGGAUUAAGGGUCCCUCAGCCGAUCACAUUUAUUUCAUUAUUUGAGUGAAAUCCCUUGUAAAUACCACCUGCCCCCCUCCCCUUCCCUUUGUAAAAAUAGAAGGCAGGGAAGAAUUGCAGAUUUGGGAAAAGUUAAUCGCCGGAGUCGCAUGAACACCGUUAACCUCUGGCAGCCCAAGCCAGGGCAAGCGGGGGAGAUGCUGCAGGGCCGGGGAGAUGCUGCGGGGUCCCAGCCUGGCGGGGUGUCCCCUGGGGAAGCCCUGGUCCCUGGGCAGAGGUGGCCUCUCCCUCUUUAGUGGUAGUAGAGUUGCCUCCAUCAUGGGCAUGGUCACAGCUGACCUGUGAUGAGCUGCUAAUUGCAAUGCUGGAACAAAUUGGCUCCAGCAGCUGGUGAUUCCUGCUACUGCAGUGGAUUCGCUGUUGCACCUUGGUUCCUGGGGAGCCUCUGCAGGACGCAUCUGCGGCCUAAGGCCCAGCGAGCUUGAGGCUAUUAGAAAUGCCGAUGCUCUUCCCUUUGCAGUGCUCUCUUUGCUCAGAGCCUCCCCAGACGACAGGGAUGGACCUGGGGACUCGAUUGCAGGCAUUACAUUGGACCUUUCCCAAGUUAAGUAUUUUCAACAAAUUUCAAACAGCAGUAGCUGGCUUCCUGUCCCCGGCAGCUCCCCUGUCCCUGCAGCGACCCCUUCCCUCCGAUUCACCCUCCGGACCUGCGCAUGGGUAGAGGUGGAUACUGGCAACAAGGACUCCUGUUCUUUGCUUCUUGCAGCUUGGCCUCGCUCACGGGACCCCGUCUGCCUUCCUCGCUCAUCCAGCGCCCCCCGGACCAGCAGGCUUGCCCGAGACCAGCAGAGCUGGAAAGUCAGACCUGCAGAGAUUAAUUAAAAUAGGAGAAGGUGGGUGCUAAAGUGAUGGAUGUUAGCAAAACACCCAGAGAUGAAGGUGCUCAGGGUGUUCGGUGACAUUUGCCUCCGGCCGAGCGGCUUUGCAAUAGUUAAAACACACUCGAUGCGGCAGUUGUUAAGGAAUCAGCCCCGACAUCUGGCCGCAGAGGUCAGCUGCGGGCAGCCGGGAUGCGCACGUGCCUGGUGCCCGCUCCCAUUGGGAUUUGCACCUUGGAGCUGCCUGUGGUGCUCCUCCAAGCAGGUGCCGGACGGGAGAGACAAGGCCAGAGAGGGAAAGCAGCGGGUCUGGGGGCACCUCGGCGCGGGAGAGCACGGCCGCCGCGGGAAGAUGCCGCCCGCCCCAGCAGGAAGGCUCAGCUGGGCUCCGACCGUCCGUGGCGUCCAGCCGGGAAGGGCUUGUACGGCUUGCGAGGUUCCUGGUGGGGUUCCUUUUUUCAAAGCCUCCUGCAAUAACAGCGGCUGUUGCUCAGCUUCCUUUCCCGAUAACCUUCUUCCUGCUGCCCAACACCCUUAUCUGCUGCAGACAGACUGGCAAGAUGAACCGGAAAACUGA
This 1457-nucleotide long non-coding RNA is filed under the name Apteryx owenii (little spotted kiwi). RNAcentral describes it as "lncRNA (ENSAOWG00000005846.1)". The record is from RNAcentral. Lineage: Eukaryota; Metazoa; Chordata; Aves; Apterygiformes; Apterygidae.